This 63-nucleotide transfer RNA is filed under the name Paratapes undulatus (undulate venus clam). Its description in RNAcentral is "tRNA-Trp". Lineage: Eukaryota; Metazoa; Mollusca; Bivalvia; Venerida; Veneridae. The record is from RNAcentral.
AGAGUGUUAAGUUAAAUAAAAGACUAUGAUAUUUCAAGUAUCAAAGUGGGGUACCACACUUUA